RNAcentral lists this ribosomal RNA (253 nucleotides) under uncultured bacterium. Its description in RNAcentral is "partial 16S ribosomal RNA". It matches the Rfam family "Bacterial small subunit ribosomal RNA", at positions 524 to 776 of the family's 1533-position model. The record is from RNAcentral.
UACGGGGGGGGCAAGCGUUGUUCGCAAUUACUGGGCGUAAAGGGCUCGUAGGCGGCCAACUAAGUCGGACGUGAAAUCCCUCGGCUUAACCGGGGAACUGCGUCCGAUACUGGAUGGCUUGAGAUUGGGAGAGGGAUGCGGAAUUCCAGGUGUAGCGGUGAAAUGCGUAGAUAUCUGGAGGAACACCGGUGGCGAAGGCGGCAUCCUGGACCAACACUGACGCUGAUGAGCGAAAGCCAGGGGAGCAAACGGG